This 447-nucleotide ribosomal RNA is filed under the name Triticum aestivum (bread wheat). Its description in RNAcentral is "partial small subunit ribosomal RNA". Lineage: Eukaryota; Viridiplantae; Streptophyta; Magnoliopsida; Poales; Poaceae. The record is from RNAcentral.
AUGGGCAGCUUGCUCAAGAAAGGCAGGACUCGCCACCAGAUCAUUCUCCGGUGGCUGAUUUCGAGUGCGUCGGCUCGAUCUGCAACGGCCUUCCUCCACUCCAACGCCGUGCGGACGACGCCAUGGAAGGGCCACCAUGACCAGGAGCAGGACGACGCCUUGGAAGGUUCACCGACAGCAGCAGCUACGGUCCGGUCUUCUCCACUGACAGGGAUAUGGACAUGGAGGUCCGCCAUGGAAGGCCUGGAGCUCGUCAUGGAGGGUCCCUCCUCCCUCUUCCCCUCCCUCCACUCUGUUGGUUGGUUGGACGGAAGACCACCGCUUGUCCGGCUCUGCUUCUUCCACCGCUGCUCCCCUCCCACCAUUGUGCCAGAGACGCUGUGCCAAGCACGGAAGAUUCGGGCAGCCGCCUCGAUCCAGAGUGUCAUCGUGCUUGUAGAAUUGUAG